Molecule: ribosomal RNA, 468 nt
Filed under: uncultured bacterium
Lineage: Bacteria
Description: partial 16S ribosomal RNA
Rfam family: Bacterial small subunit ribosomal RNA
Source: RNAcentral
GACGAACGCUGGCGGCGUGCUUAACACAUGCAAGUCGAACGGAAAGGCCCUGCUUUUGUGGGGUGCUCGAGUGGCGAACGGGUGAGUAACACGUGAGUAACCUGCCCUUGACUUUGGGAUAACUUCAGGAAACUGGGGCUAAUACCGGAUAGGAGCUCCCGCUGCAUGGUGGGGGUUGGAAAGUUUCGGCGGUUGGGGAUGGACUCGCGGCUUAUCAGCUUGUUGGUGGGGUAGUGGCUUACCAAGGCUUUGACGGGUAGCCGGCCUGAGAGGGUGACCGGCCACAUUGGGACUGAGAUACGGCGCAGACUCCUACGGGAGGCAGCAGUGGGGAAUAUUGCACAAUGGGCGGAAGCCUGAUGCAGCAACGCCGCGUGCGGGAUGACGGCCUUCGGGUUGUAAACCGCUUUCGCCUGUGACGAAGCGUGAGUGACGGUAAUGGGUAAAGAAGCACCGGCUAACUACGUG